Long non-coding RNA from Gymnodraco acuticeps, 454 nucleotides. RefSeq lists it as uncharacterized. The record is from RefSeq and is a predicted model, not a curated record. NCBI's taxonomy places the organism in Eukaryota, Metazoa, Chordata, Actinopteri, Perciformes, Bathydraconidae. The transcript is spliced from 2 exons.
ACCACGAGAGACAGACCUAUUCCUAACAUCAGUGAACUUCAGCAUGGACUAAAAGGAAAGGACAUACCUGAAGGACACAACUGCCUCACCGUUUUCGCAGAGGGGCCAGAAGAAAAUGAAAAGCUGAUAUCAGAUAAAGACCAAUACAGGACAUUCACUAAGAAACUACUCUUUUAUUGUGAACAGAAGGUCAAACAGGACCAUCAUUUGUUUGUGACAGCUGUGCCCAGUAUGGGCUCACAGAUGCAGUUAGGUGGUUUCUUCAUCAGGCCUGGUCCUCCUCCCAGAGAAAGACCUCUCCACCUCAGUCCUCUCCAGCCAAACCCACAGACAGGACAUCCGUCACGCUGAGGUUUCUCCCAAAGUCUCUGCACGCUGUCUCAAUAUCUCACGUCGGAAAGUUUAAUUUAAAAGAAGAAGAGGCCCCAAAAAUAAAGAUUGGUAUAUCAAUAAA